GACGAACGCUGGCGGCGUGCUUAACACAUGCAAGUCGAGCGAGAAACUUCGGUUUCUAGCGGCGGACGGGUGAGUAACACGUGGGCAACCUGCCUCACAAUGGGGGAUAGCCUUCCGAAAGGAAGAUUAAUACCGCAUAACACAAAGGAAACGCAUGUUUCUUUUGCCAAAGAAUUUCGUUGUGAGAUGGGCCCGCGGCGCAUUAGCUUGUUGGUGAGGUAACGGCUCACCAAGGCGACGAUGCGUAGCCGACCUGAGAGGGUGAUCGGCCACAUUGGACCUGGGCCACGGUCCAGACUCCUACGGGAGGCAGCAGUGGGGAAUAUUGCACAAUGGAGGAAACUCUGAUGCAGCAACGCCGCGUGAGUGAUGAAGGUCUUCGGAUUGUAAAGCUCUGUCUUCUGGGACGAUAAUGACGGUACCAGAGGAGGAAGCCACGGCUAACUACGUGCCAGCCGCCGCCGUAA
This 467-nucleotide ribosomal RNA is filed under the name uncultured bacterium. RNAcentral's name for it is "partial 16S ribosomal RNA". It matches the Rfam family "Bacterial small subunit ribosomal RNA", at positions 28 to 523 of the family's 1533-position model. The record is from RNAcentral.